RNAcentral lists this ribosomal RNA (249 nucleotides) under uncultured prokaryote. Its description in RNAcentral is "partial 16S ribosomal RNA". It matches the Rfam family "Bacterial small subunit ribosomal RNA", at positions 524 to 772 of the family's 1533-position model. The record is from RNAcentral.
UACGGAGGAUGCAAGCGUUAUCCGGAUUUAUUGGGUUUAAAGGGUGCGCAGGUUGUUUGAUAAGUCAGUAGUGAAAGUCUGUCGCUUAACGGUAGGAUUGCCAUUGAUACUGUUAGACUUGAAUAUGGAUGAGGUAGGCGGAAUGUGUAGUGUAGCGGUGAAAUGCAUAGAUAUUACACAGAACACCGAUUGCGAAGGCAGCUUACUAAUCCAUCAUUGACGCUGAGGCACGAAAGCGUGGGGAUCAGA